This 501-nucleotide ribosomal RNA is filed under the name uncultured bacterium. Its description in RNAcentral is "partial 16S ribosomal RNA". It matches the Rfam family "Bacterial small subunit ribosomal RNA", at positions 899 to 1397 of the family's 1533-position model. The record is from RNAcentral.
ACUCAAAUGAAUAGACGGGGGCCCGCACAAGCGGUGGAGCAUGUGGAUUAAUACGUCACUAACCGUAGAACCUUACCCAGGCUUGACAUCUGUAGAAUCCCCUUGAAAGGGGGGAGUGCUUCGCAAGAAGAGCUACAAGACAGGUGUUGCAUGGCUGUCGUCAGCUCGUGUCGUGAGAUGUUGGGUUAAGUCCCGCAACGAGCGCAACCCUCACCGUAUGUUGCCAGCGUCAAGUCGGGCACUCUUACGGAACUGCCCGGGUAACCGGGAGGAAGGUGGGGACGACGUCAAGUCAGCAUGGCCCUUACGCCUGGGGCUUCACACAUGCUACAAUGGCCGGUACAAAGGGCUCCGAUACCGCGAGGUGGAGGCAAUCCCAAAAAGCCGGUCUCAGUUCGGAUCGCAGGCUGCAACUCGCCUGCGUGAAGUUGGAAUCGCUAGUAACGGCCGGUCAGCUAAACGGCCGUGAAUACGUUCCCGGGCCUUGCACACACCGCCCGU